This 338-nucleotide unclassified non-coding RNA is filed under the name Hevea brasiliensis (rubber tree). Lineage: Eukaryota; Viridiplantae; Streptophyta; Magnoliopsida; Malpighiales; Euphorbiaceae. The record is from RNAcentral.
GACAUUGUAACCCAAUUUGUGUUAGUGGGGAUAAAAGCUGUUAUAAUGGCGGAAUCUUGAAGAACAAUUUGUGGUGGCGGCGGAUACGGUGGUUCUUGUGGGGUUGGGUUGGAGUUAAAGAAAUACUUCCUCAUAAUGUUGUAUGUAAUUGUCAAUUUGACUAAAAGUUGAAAAGGGAAUUAGAAUUGGAAAAUUGAAACCAAUAUUUUGAGGUUUUGAUUUUCUGUGUAUUAAAAUUAGAUUCCAAUUACUCCUACCCUAAUUUCUAGAAAAAAGUAAGUUUUACAGAUGUGGGAUUCAUCAAGAUGAAAUUGAUGUCUAAUACUACAGUACUAGGG